This 836-nucleotide ribosomal RNA is filed under the name uncultured bacterium. RNAcentral's name for it is "bacterial SSU rRNA". It matches the Rfam family "Bacterial small subunit ribosomal RNA", at positions 51 to 912 of the family's 1533-position model. The record is from RNAcentral.
UCMSAUGGRAGUCGAGCGGAUUCUCUUCGGAGAAGAGCGGCGGACGGGUGAGUAACGCGUGGSCUAACCUGCCCUGUACACACGGAUAACAUACCGAAAGGUAUGCUAAUACGAGAUAAUAUGCUUUUAUCGCAUGGUAGAAGUAUCAAAGCUUUUGCGGUACAGGAUGGACCCGCGUCUGAUUAGCUAGUUGGUAAGGUAACGGCUUACCAAGGCGACGAUCAGUAGCCGACCUGAGAGGGUGAUCGGCCACAUUGGAACUGAGACACGGUCCAAACUCCUACGGGAGGCAGCAGUGGGGAAUAUUGCACAAUGGGCGAAAGCCUGAUGCAGCAACGCCGCGUGAGCGAUGAAGGCCUUCGGGUCGUAAAGCUCUGUCCUCAAGGAAGAUAAUGACGGUACUUGAGGAGGAAGCCCCGGCUAACUACGUGCCAGCAGCCGCGGUAAUACGUAGGGGGCUAGCGUUAUCCGGAAUUACUGGGCGUAAAGGGUGCGUAGGUGGUUUCUUAAGUCAGAGGUGAAAGGCUACGGCUCAACCGUAGUAAGCCUUUGAAACUGGGAAACUUGAGUGCAGGAGAGGAGAGUGGAAUUCCUAGUGUAGCGGUGAAAUGCGUAGAUAUUAGGAGGAACACCAGUUGCGAAGGCGGCUCUCUGGACUGUAACUGACACUGAGGCACGAAAGCGUGGGGGAGCAAACAGGAUUAGAUACCCUGGUAGUCCACGCCGUAAACGAUGAGUACUAGCUGUCGGAGGUUACCCCCUUCGGUGGCGCAGCCUAACGCAUUAAGUACUCCGCCUGGGAAGUACGCUCGCAAGAGUGAAACUCAAAGGAUUUG